GACAGAGGAUGCAAGCGUUAUCCGGAAUGAUUGGGCGUAAAGCGCGUGUAGGCGGUUCCGUAAGUCCGCUCUGAAAGCCCAGGGCUCAACCCUGGGAGGCGGGUGGAUACUACGGAACUGGAGUACGGAAGAGGAGAUUGGAAUUCCUGGUGUAGCGGUGAAAUGCGCAGAUAUCAAGGAGGAACACCAACAGCGAAGGCAGAUCUCUGGGACGUUACUGACGCUGAGACGCGAAAGCGUGGGGAGCAAACAGG
This 254-nucleotide ribosomal RNA is filed under the name uncultured bacterium. RNAcentral describes it as "partial 16S ribosomal RNA". It matches the Rfam family "Bacterial small subunit ribosomal RNA", at positions 524 to 776 of the family's 1533-position model. The record is from RNAcentral.